Molecule: ribosomal RNA, 370 nt
Filed under: uncultured Prevotella sp.
Lineage: Bacteria; Pseudomonadati; Bacteroidota; Bacteroidia; Bacteroidales; Prevotellaceae
Description: bacterial SSU rRNA
Rfam family: Bacterial small subunit ribosomal RNA
Source: RNAcentral
AACUGCUUUUGUAUGGGGAUAAAGUCNAUCACGUGUGAUUGUUUGCAGGUACCAUACGAAUAAGGACCGGCUAAUUCCGUGCCAGCAGCCGCGGUAAUACGGAAGGUCCGGGCGUUAUCCGGAUUUAUUGGGUUUAAAGGGAGCGUAGGCUGGAGAUUAAGUGUGUUGUGAAAUGUAGACGCUCAACGUCUGACUUGCAGCGCAUACUGGUUUCCUUGAGUACGCACAACGUUGGCGGAAUUCGUCGUGUAGCGGUGAAAUGCUUAGAUAUGACGAAGAACUCCGAUUGCGAAGGCAGCUGACGGGAGCGCAACUGACGCUGAAGCUCGAAGGUGCGGGUAUCGAACAGGAUUAGAUACCCUGGUAGUCC